Molecule: ribosomal RNA, 342 nt
Filed under: Mantella betsileo
Lineage: Eukaryota; Metazoa; Chordata; Amphibia; Anura; Mantellidae
Description: partial 12S ribosomal RNA
Rfam family: Bacterial small subunit ribosomal RNA
Source: RNAcentral
AUUUACACCAACAAGCGCCAGGGAAUUAMGAGCGCAAGCUUAAAAUUCAAAGGAUUUGACGGUAUCCCACCCACCUAGAGGAGCCUGUUCUAUAAUCNAUAAUCCUCGAUACACCCAACCAUUUCUUGCUUUUUCAGCCUGUAUACCUCCGUCGCAAGCUUACCAUUUGAAUGUAAAAAAGUAAGUCUAAGGAUCCCCCAUCAACACKUCDGGUCAAGGUGCASCCAAUGUAAUGGAAAGUAAUGGGCUACAAUUUCUACAAUARAACAAACRAAACACUGCAUGAAAAACAGUCAUGAAGGCGGAUUUAGUAKUAAAAGGARAAUARAGAGNUNNUUNNAA